AGAGUUUGAUCAUGGCUCAGAACGAACGCUGGCGGCGUGCCUGAGACAUGCAAGUCGUGGGAGAAAGUCGGAGCAAUCCGGCUAGUAAACCGGCGCACGGGUGAGUAACACGUGGGUAACCUGCCUUGGAGACCGGGAUAACCCGUCGAAAGACGGACUAAUACCGGAUAAGACCCCGGAUAGUUCGCUAUCCGAGGUAAAAGGUGGCCUCUGCUCCUGCAAGCUAUUACCUCAAGAGGGGCCCGCGGCCUAUCAGCUAGUUGGUGAGGUAACGGCUCACCAAGGCUAAGACGGGUUGCUGGUCUGAGAGGAUGGUCAGCCACACUGGGACUGAGACACGGCCCAGAGUCCUACGGGAUGCAGCAGUCAGGAAUAUUGCGCAAUGGAGGAAACUCUGACGCAGCGACGCCGCGUGGGUGAUGAAGGCCUUCGGGUCGUAAAGCCCUGUCGGAGGGGAAGAAAAGCCUGUUGGCUAAUAUCCAACGGGCCUUUGACGGUACCCUCAAAGGAAGCACCGGCUAACUCCGUGCCAGCAGCCGCGGUAAGACGGAGGGUGCAAGCGUUGUUCGGAUUGACUGGGCGUAAAGGGCGUGUAGGCGGUUGGUCAAGUCUGGUGUGAAAGCCCGGGGCUCAACCCCGGAAGUGCAUUGGAAACUAGCCAGCUAGAGCGCGAGAGAGGAGGGUGGAAUUCCUGGUGUAGCGGUGAAAUGCGUAGAUAUCAGGAGGAACACCGGCGGCGAAGCGGCCCUCUGGCUCGUUGCUGACGCUGAACGCGAAAGCGUGGGGAGCAAACAGGAUUAGAUAACCCUGGUAGUCCACGCUGUAAACGAUGGGUACUAGGUGUUCGGGGUAUUGACCCCCUGAGUGCCGACGCUAACGCAUUAAGUACCCCGCCUGGGGACUACGGCCGCA
RNAcentral lists this ribosomal RNA (912 nucleotides) under uncultured bacterium. RNAcentral describes it as "bacterial SSU rRNA". It matches the Rfam family "Bacterial small subunit ribosomal RNA", at positions 8 to 890 of the family's 1533-position model. The record is from RNAcentral.